RNAcentral lists this ribosomal RNA (809 nucleotides) under Lysinibacillus fusiformis. Its description in RNAcentral is "bacterial SSU rRNA". It matches the Rfam family "Bacterial small subunit ribosomal RNA", at positions 549 to 1356 of the family's 1533-position model. The record is from RNAcentral. Lineage: Bacteria; Bacillati; Bacillota; Bacilli; Caryophanales; Bacillaceae.
AAUUAUUGGGCGUAAAGCGCGCGCCGGUCUUUUAUAAAUUGUGAUUAGAAAGCCCAGCGUUCUACCGGGGGGGGGUCAUUGAAAAUUGGGAGACUUGAGUCCAUAAGGGGAUAGUGGCAUUCCAAGUGUAGCGUUGAAAUGUGUAGAGAUUUGGAGGCACACCAGUGGCGAAGGUGACUAUCUGGUCUGUAACUGACACUGAGGCGCGAAAGCGUGGGGAGCAAACAGGAUUAGAUACCGUGGUAGUCCACGCCGUAAACGAUGAGUGCUACGUGUUAGGUGGUAUCCGCCCCUUAGUGAUGCAGGUAACGCAUUAAGCACUCAGCCUGGGGAGUACGGUCGCAAGACUGAAACUCAAAGGAAUUGACGGGGGCCCGCACAAGCGGUGGAGCAUGUGGUUUAAUUAGAAGCAACGCGAAGAACCUUACCAGGUCUUGACAUCCCGUUGACCACUGUAGAGAUAUGGUUUCCCCUUCGGGGGCAACGCUGACAGGUGGUGCAUGUUGUCGUCAGCUCGUGUCGUGAGAUGUUGGGUUAAGUCCCGCAACGAGCGCAACCCUUGAUAUUAGUUGCCAUCAUUUAGUUGGGCACUCUAAGGUGACUCCCGGUGACAAACCGGAGGAAGGUGGGGAUGACGUCAAAUCAUCAUGCCCCUUAUGACUUGGGCUACACACGUGCUACAAUGGACGAUACAAACGGUUGCCAACUCGCGAGAGGGAGGUAAUCCGAUAAAGUCGUUCUCAGUUCGGAUUGUAGGGUGCAACUCGCCCACAUGAAGCCGGAAUCGUUAGUAAUCGCGGAUCAUCAUG